CGGAGAAUCGAUGCCGGAGAAUCGAUGCCGGAUAUGUUUGGUAACUUUUCGUUUGUCUUGCUGUUCAAGUGGAUUGUUUCGUUUCUGUUUUGGAGGAGAGCAAGUCAAAGCAAAUACAUGUUUGCUAUGUCGGCCAGUAACGCAGGUUUGCGAAUGUUGGUAAACAAGGGACCACAGAUGGGGCAAUGGAGGUGUCUAUCAAGAACACGAUUCUUGAAAUAUUGAUCUCGAACACACAUCUGUGUGGACUUGUGAUCUGGUAUAGGCUGGACAUCUACAUCACACUGUUUAAUUUUUAGAUUUUAAAUAAUUUUUUUCCAACUAUUUUCGUGGGUGAAGUGUUAUUGUUUUUGAUUUGUCGAAAUUGGACUGUUCUCUGAUUGGUUAGUGUUAAAGAAAUGUGGAUACAUAUAUAUAGUCAUAAGAAAUUGCUGGCUU
This is a long non-coding RNA of Helianthus annuus (common sunflower), 438 nucleotides long. RefSeq lists it as uncharacterized. The transcript is spliced from 3 exons. NCBI's taxonomy places the organism in Eukaryota, Viridiplantae, Streptophyta, Magnoliopsida, Asterales, Asteraceae. The record is from RefSeq and is a predicted model, not a curated record.